AUUGAACGCUGGCGGCAGGCUUAACACAUGCAAGUCGAGCGGGGUGAUGGUGCUUGCACUAUCACUUAGCGGCGGACGGGUGAGUAAUGCUUAGGAAUCUGCCUAUUAGUGGGGGACAACAUCUCGAAAGGGAUGCUAAUACCGCAUACGUCCUACGGGAGAAAGCAGGGGAUCACUUGUGACCUUGCGCUAAUAGAUGAGCCUAAGUCGGAUUAGCUAGUUGGUGGGGUAAAGGCCUACCAAGGCGACGAUCUGUAGCGGGUCUGAGAGGAUGAUCCGCCACACUGGGACUGAGACACGGCCCAGACUCCUACGGGAGGCAGCAGUGGGGAAUAUUGGACAAUGGGGGGAACCCUGAUCCAGCCAUGCCGCGUGUGUGAAGAAGGCCUUAUGGUUGUAAAGCACUUUAAGCGAGGAGGAGGCUCUUUUGGUUAAUACCCAAGAUGAGUGGACGUUACUCGCAGAAUAAGCACUGGCUAACUCUGUGUCAGCCGCCGCGGUAA
Molecule: ribosomal RNA, 503 nt
Filed under: uncultured bacterium
Lineage: Bacteria
Description: partial 16S ribosomal RNA
Rfam family: Bacterial small subunit ribosomal RNA
Source: RNAcentral